RNAcentral lists this ribosomal RNA (426 nucleotides) under uncultured bacterium. RNAcentral describes it as "partial 16S ribosomal RNA". It matches the Rfam family "Bacterial small subunit ribosomal RNA", at positions 354 to 796 of the family's 1533-position model. The record is from RNAcentral.
GUGAGGAAUUUUCCGCAAUGGGCGAAAGCCUGACGGAGCAAUGCCGCGUGAAGGAUGAAGGCCUAUGGGUUGUAAACUUCUUUUCUCAGAAAAGAAUUAUGACGGUAUCUGAGGAAUAAGCAUCGGCUAACUCUGUGCCAGCAGCCGCGGUAAGACAGAGGAUGCAAGCGUUAUCCGGAAUGAUUGGGCGUAAAGCGUCUGUAGGUUGUUUAAAAAGUAUUCUGUCAAAGAUUAGGGCUUAACCCUAGAUAGGCAGAAUAAACUUUUAAGCUAGAGGUUGGUAGAGGCAGAGGGAAUUCCCGGGGGAGCGGUGAAAUGCGUAGAUAUCGGGAGGAACACCAAAGGCGAAGGCACUCUGCUGGGCCAAUACUAACACUGAGAGACGAAAGCGAGGGGAGCAAAUGGGAUUAGAAACCCGGGUAGUCC